UACGUAGGGACCAAGCGUUGUUCGGAUUUACUGGGCGUAAAGGGCGCGUAGGCGGCAAUUCAAGUCAGCUGUGAAAUCUCCGAGCUUAACUCGGAACGGUCAGCUGAUACUGUUUUGCUAGAGUGCAGAAAGGGCAACCGGAAUUCUUGGUGUAGCGGUGAAAUGCGUAGAUAUCAAGAGGAACACCUGAGGCGAAGGCGGGUUGCUAGGCUGACACUGACGCUGAGGCGCGAAAGCUAGGGGAGCGAACAGG
Molecule: ribosomal RNA, 253 nt
Filed under: uncultured bacterium
Lineage: Bacteria
Description: partial 16S ribosomal RNA
Rfam family: Bacterial small subunit ribosomal RNA
Source: RNAcentral